CAGCCGCCGCGGUAAUACCGGCGGCCCGAGUGGCGGUCACUAUUAUUGGGCUUAAAGCGUCCGUAGCCGGGUUGGGAAGUCCUCCGGGAAAUCUGGCCGCUUAACGGUCAGAAUGCCGGAGGAUACUCCCAGCCUAGGGACCGGGAGAGGCCGAGGGGAUUCCCGGGGUAGGGGGGAAAUCCUAUAAUCCCGGGAGGACCACCUGUGGCGAAGGCGCUCGGCUGGAACGCGUCCGACGGUGAGGGACGAAGGCCAGGGGAGCAAACCGGAUUAGAUACCCGGGUAGUCCUGGCUGUAAACGAUGCGGACUUUGUGUCGGACAAGCUAUGAGCUUGUCCGGUGCCGGAGGGAAACCGUUAAGUCCGCCGCCUGGGGAGUACGGCCGCAAGGCUGAAACUUAAAGGAAUUGGCGGG
RNAcentral lists this ribosomal RNA (414 nucleotides) under uncultured microorganism. Its description in RNAcentral is "bacterial SSU rRNA". It matches the Rfam family "Archaeal small subunit ribosomal RNA", at positions 459 to 872 of the family's 1478-position model. The record is from RNAcentral.